CCUACGGGUUGCAGCAGUGGGGAAUAUUGGACAAUGGGCGAAAGCCUGAUCCAGCAAUGCCGCGUGAGUGAUGAAGGCCUUAGGGUUGUAAAGCUCUUUUACCCGGGAUGAUAAUGACAGUACCGGGAGAAUAAGCCCCGGCUAACUCCGUGCCAGCAGCCGCGGUAAUACGGAGGGGGCUAGCGUUGUUCGGAAUUACUGGGCGUAAAGCGCGCGUAGACGGCUUUGCAAGUUAGAGGUGAAAGCCCGGAGCUCAACUCCGGAAUUGCCUUUAGAACUGCAUCGCUAGAACGUCGGAGAGGUAAGUGGAAUUCCGAGUGUAGAGGUGAAAUUCGUAGAUAUUCGGAAGAACACCAGUGGCGAAGGCGACUUACUGGACGACUGUUGACGCUGGGGUGCGAAAGCGUGGGGAGCAAACAGGAUUAGAUACCCUCGUAGUC
Molecule: ribosomal RNA, 440 nt
Filed under: uncultured bacterium
Lineage: Bacteria
Description: bacterial SSU rRNA
Rfam family: Bacterial small subunit ribosomal RNA
Source: RNAcentral